AGGGUUAGGUUUGAAAGCACAGGC
This 24-nucleotide non-coding RNA is filed under the name Arabidopsis thaliana (thale cress). The record is from RNAcentral. Lineage: Eukaryota; Viridiplantae; Streptophyta; Magnoliopsida; Brassicales; Brassicaceae.